ACCUCACUUCCGGCCAAUCUUAUCGGAAAACCGCCUAGAGAAGAUCUCAACCGUCCGAUCCUGUCGGAAUCCCACAGAAAAGCAUCGAGAGCUCAUCACCUCUCCUUCCCUUCCGAUAGGAGCAGAUGUUCUUCGUCCAAUCGUCUUCACUGGAGUGAAAGCAAAAGCUCCGGAACCCGCCGCCACGUCAGCGCGAAGCGGCCGCUGACGUAGAAGAGGAGAGUUUGAAUAAUUUCUAGGGUUUAUGGGGAGAAACGGAUGCUACCUUGAGGAAAAUAUCAACUGCCCUAUACAAGCCAUCAUUCACAACUCGAGCAUGGUCGGGGAGUAAUUCUGCUAGUGCGAUGAACUUGGACGUCAGCAAGUUCGAGUCCAGUGCAAUCUCUGCAAGAUAAGUGUCAAACAGCUUCGACACCUUGAGAAUUAAGCUUUGCUUGGGAGAUCUCGGGCUGUCAUACUCAUAGCCCAUGUCAGUCUCAUCUCGAAAGCAAUUCCCAUCAUCUUCUUCCUCGUCCAAGUUCAAGAAAAUGGAGAAGAUCCUCAAUAUUGAAUCUGUGUCGUAUAAUGGGUGGUUGUUGCUGUUUGGGUUUGCUGGAAUGAGAAUGUCUUCGAGAAUUGCCUGGUCUAAUCGCAGCCCAAUCCGUCUCUCUAGAUCUGCUCUACAAGCGGCGGAAGCAGAUGACACUGUCGCGGUUUUAAGUAGGCCUGAAAGAAAUGCCAUCGGCACCGGACUUUUCCUCGACUGGGUCGGUAGUAAUCCGACUAUCGCUUCGACGGUCACCCUUUGUUUCUUCUGCAAUUCAAUAUCUAUCAAGCUUCCUUCUACUGAUUGGAUAUCUCGAACACCAAGACCUUGGAGGGAAUUAUGCGCGUAAUUAAUCAAGAUCUUGCUGAUCGUGUCCUGUUUUAGACCCUUGGAUUUCACCACAGACAGGACUCUUUGGAAAAAAUCUAGAUUAAGGACUGUCAGGCUCUUGCCCCACCAAUCCGCCGGUGUUUCUGAUUCUGCAUUCGUCGGCUUAACAGGUAAGUUAUGCUCGAGCUUGGAUAACCCGGAUGAGAGCUGCUCCUUACAAGCAUUCGAUGCAAUUGCAUUUAUGAGUCUGCUGAUUAAGCUGAUUUCUUCAGCGACUGGUAGAAGAGCUUCGCAGCGGUGGAGAACGACAAUUGAAUUCAAGAUGUUCGAGAUCACCAUCUCUUUUAGAUAGAUUUCAGUGAGUGUCUCCAAGUUCUUCUCGGCGAAUUCCUCUGUCAUUUGAAGAUAGUGAGCUGCACAUCGCAGCAUGGCGACAUUUGAUAGGGUGAUCUCGAUGUUUAAGCCGUAGCAGAACUUCGCGGCCAGCUCGAAGGCUUCUGGCCCACCAGGGACGGCGGUGAGAGCUAUUCGAGAUACUUUCGAGUCCUUUGAUUCAGUAAGCAUUUUUCUGAUCUUCCCACUUCGAGAAACCAAAGGGAACUACAAAAGAACCAUGCCUUCUGUUAAAGGGGGAAAAAGUUCAAUUGAAAUUCUUUUUUCUGGA
Molecule: long non-coding RNA, 1520 nt
Organism: Magnolia sinica
Lineage: Eukaryota; Viridiplantae; Streptophyta; Magnoliopsida; Magnoliales; Magnoliaceae
Exons: 2
Source: RefSeq, a predicted model, not a curated record